GUGCUCACUUCAGCAGCACCUAUACACUAAAAUUGGAACAAUACAGAGAAGGUUAGCAUAGCCCCUGUGCACGGAUAACACAAAAAUUCAUGAAGCAUUUCAUAUUUGG
This is a small nuclear RNA of Manis pentadactyla (Chinese pangolin), 109 nucleotides long. The record is from RefSeq and is a predicted model, not a curated record. Lineage: Eukaryota; Metazoa; Chordata; Mammalia; Pholidota; Manidae.